Molecule: ribosomal RNA, 497 nt
Filed under: uncultured bacterium
Lineage: Bacteria
Description: partial 16S ribosomal RNA
Rfam family: Bacterial small subunit ribosomal RNA
Source: RNAcentral
GAUGAACGCUGGCGGCGUGCCUAAUACAUGCAAGUCGAGCGAACAGACGGGGAGCUUGCUCCUUUGACGUUAGCGGCGGACGGGUGAGUAACACGUAGGUAACCUACCUAUAAGACUGGGAUAACUUCGGGAAACCGGAGCUAAUACCGGAUAAUAUUUCGAACCGCAUGGUUCGAUAGUGAAAGAUGGCUUUGCUAUCACUUAUAGAUGGACCUGCGCCGUAUUAGCUAGUUGGUAAGGUAACGGCUUACCAAGGCAACGAUACGUAGCCGACCUGAGAGGGUGAUCGGCCACACUGGAACUGAGACACGGUCCAGACUCCUACGGGAGGCAGCAGUAGGGAAUCUUCCGCAAUGGGCGAAAGCCUGACGGAGCAACGCCGCGUGAGUGAUGAAGGUCUUCGGAUCGUAAAACUCUGUUAUUAGGGAAGAACAAACGUGUAAGUAACUGUGCACGUCUUGACGGUACCUAAUCAGAAAGCCACGGCUAACUACGUG